Long non-coding RNA from Etheostoma spectabile (orangethroat darter), 113 nucleotides. RefSeq lists it as uncharacterized. The record is from RefSeq and is a predicted model, not a curated record. Lineage: Eukaryota; Metazoa; Chordata; Actinopteri; Perciformes; Percidae. The transcript has 3 exons.
GCUAGUGCUAGCUAGGGGCUACCUAACAUUGACGUUAGCUAGCGCUUGCUGAUGCUAGCGAUUUCUAGUCUGCGACAUAUUUUGGGCUUCAUUUCAUAAACAUAACCUGUAGU